AACGAACGCUGGCGGCAUGCCUAACACAUGCAAGUCGAACGAGACCUUCGGGUUUGGUGGCGCACGGGUGCGUAACGGGGGGGAACCUGCCCUUAGGUUCGGAAUAACUCCCGGAAAGGGGUGCUAAUACGGGAUAAAGUACUCGGACCAUAGAUUUAUCGACUUUGGGUGGGCCGGAGUUGGCUUAGCUAGAUGGUAGGGUAAACGCGUACCAAGGCGACGAUACGUAGCUGGGCUGAGAGGAUGAUCCGCGACACUGGUGGUGAGACACGGUCCGGACUCCUACGGGAGGGAGCAGUGGCGAAUAUAGGACUGUGGGCGGAAUGAUGAUCCAGCUAUGCUGGGAGAGUGAUGUAGGUCUGAGGGUUGGAAAGCACGUUUACCCGGGACGAUAAUGACAGUACCGGGAGAAUAAGCUCCGGCUAACUCCGUG
RNAcentral lists this ribosomal RNA (433 nucleotides) under uncultured bacterium. RNAcentral describes it as "partial 16S ribosomal RNA". It matches the Rfam family "Bacterial small subunit ribosomal RNA", at positions 29 to 507 of the family's 1533-position model. The record is from RNAcentral.